GGGCCCGCACAAGCGGUGGAGUAUGUGGUUUAAUUCGAUGCAACGCGAAGAACCUUACCAGGGUUUGACAUCCUGCGAAUCUCUUGGAAACAGGAGAGUGCCUUCGGGAGCUCUGAGACAGGUGCUGCAUGGCUGUCGUCAGCUCGUGUUGUGAAAUGUUGGGUUAAGUCCCGCAACGAGCGCAACCCUUAUCCUUGUUUGCCAGCACGUAAUGGUGGGAACUCCAGGGAGACUGCCGGUGAUAAACCGGAGGAAGGUGGGGACGACGUCAAGUCAUCAUGGCCCUUACGAGUAGGGCUACACACGUGCUACAAUGGCGCAUACAGAGGGCAGCAAGCUAGCGAUAGUGAG
Molecule: ribosomal RNA, 351 nt
Filed under: uncultured bacterium
Lineage: Bacteria
Description: bacterial SSU rRNA
Rfam family: Bacterial small subunit ribosomal RNA
Source: RNAcentral